CCUACGGGUGGCAGCAGUGGGGAAUAUUGGUCAAUGGAGGCAACUCUGAACCAGCAACGCCGCGUGCGCGAUGAAGGUCUUCGGAUUUUAAAGCUCUUUUAGUAGGGACGAAAACAGUGACAGUACUCGCAUAAUAACCGUCUGCUACCUACGUGCCAGCAGCCGCGGUAAUACGUAGGACGCAAGCGUUAUCCGGAAUGAGUGGGUGUAAAGGGUGCGUAGGCGGUUUGGCAAGUUGGUAGUGAAAUCCCGGGGCUCAACCACUGUGCUGCUACUAAUACUGUUUAACUUGAGUGCAGGAGGGGUAGGUGGAAUGCGCGGUGUAGCGGUGGAAUGCGUAGAGAUCAGGAAGAACACCGACUGCGAAGGCGAUUCACUGGACUAUAACUGACGCUGAGGCACGAAAGCGUGGGGAGCAAACAGGAUUAGAUACCCUAGUAGUC
This 443-nucleotide ribosomal RNA is filed under the name uncultured bacterium. Its description in RNAcentral is "partial 16S ribosomal RNA". It matches the Rfam family "Bacterial small subunit ribosomal RNA", at positions 338 to 795 of the family's 1533-position model. The record is from RNAcentral.